RNAcentral lists this unclassified non-coding RNA (236 nucleotides) under Hevea brasiliensis (rubber tree). The record is from RNAcentral. Lineage: Eukaryota; Viridiplantae; Streptophyta; Magnoliopsida; Malpighiales; Euphorbiaceae.
GCAAGGAAUAAAAUGUGCCAUCUUAGAAAAUUUGUCCACUACUACAAAUGUAGAAUCUUUACCUUACCUAGACCUAGGCAAUCCCAAAAUAAAGUCUAUAGACAAACCAAUCCAUGGUUCACUAGGUAUAGGCAAAGGUGUAUAUAAGCUUUAAGGUAAGACCUUAGACUUUGCUUUUUUACAUGUGAUACGCCUAGAACACACUUUCUCAACAUCUCUCUUCAUAUGAGGCCAAA